This 29-nucleotide small RNA is filed under the name Bombyx mori (domestic silkworm). Its description in RNAcentral is "ovarian small RNA-2317". The record is from RNAcentral. Lineage: Eukaryota; Metazoa; Arthropoda; Insecta; Lepidoptera; Bombycidae.
UGUUAUACCAGGGUCUGCCGCGACCCCCA